This 253-nucleotide ribosomal RNA is filed under the name uncultured bacterium. RNAcentral describes it as "partial 16S ribosomal RNA". It matches the Rfam family "Bacterial small subunit ribosomal RNA", at positions 524 to 776 of the family's 1533-position model. The record is from RNAcentral.
GACAGAGGGUGCAAACGUUGUUCGGAUUUACUGGGCGUAAAGCGCGUGUAGGCGGCUUUGCAAGUCGGAUGUGAAAUCCCACGGCUCAACCGUGGAAGUGCAUCCGAAACUGCAUCGCUGGAGUCUCGGAGAGGAAGGUAGAAUGCUUGGUGUAGAGGUGAAAUUCGUAGAUAUCAAGCAGAACACCUGCGGCGAAGGCGGCCUUCUGGACGAUGACUGACGCUGAGACGCGAAAGCGUGGGGAGCAAACAGG